Molecule: microRNA precursor, 65 nt
Filed under: Procavia capensis (Cape rock hyrax)
Lineage: Eukaryota; Metazoa; Chordata; Mammalia; Hyracoidea; Procaviidae
Description: miRNA (ENSPCAG00000020204.1)
Source: RNAcentral
ACCAGCUGUCCUGCUUUGCCUGGGACUGAGGGGCUUCCCUGGUAGCACAGCAGUUAAAGUGCUCA